GACGAACGCUGGCGGCGUGCUUAACACAUGCAAGUCGAACGAAGUGGCGAACGGGUGAGUAACGCGUAAUCAACCUGCCCUUCAGAGGGGGACAACAGUUGGAAACGACCGCUAACACCGCAUACUGAAGGGGGGGAUUGCGUUGGAUUAGCUAGUUGGGGGGGUAACGGCCCACCAAGGCGAUGAUCAGUAGCCGGCCUGAGAGGAGGAACGGCCACAUUGGGACUGGGACACGGCCCAGACUCCUACGGGAGGCAGCAGUGGGGAAUCUUCCGCAAUGGACGGAAGUCUGACGGAGCAACGCCGCGUGAGUGAUGACGGCCUUCGGGUUGUAAAGCUCUGUUAUUCGGGACGCGGUACCGGAAUAGAAAGCCACGGCUAACUACGUGCCAGCAGCCGCGGUAAUUC
This 408-nucleotide ribosomal RNA is filed under the name uncultured bacterium. Its description in RNAcentral is "partial 16S ribosomal RNA". It matches the Rfam family "Bacterial small subunit ribosomal RNA", at positions 28 to 526 of the family's 1533-position model. The record is from RNAcentral.